RNAcentral lists this ribosomal RNA (117 nucleotides) under Danio rerio (zebrafish). Lineage: Eukaryota; Metazoa; Chordata; Actinopteri; Cypriniformes; Danionidae. The record is from RNAcentral.
AUCCACAGCCAUAUCACCCUGCAACUCAAGACCGGUUACUCACUAAAUGAUAGUAGGGCUGAGCCUGGUCAGUACCUUGAUGGGAGAUCAUAUAGGAAAGCUAGGUUGUUGUUAAAA